This is a long non-coding RNA of Mustela erminea (ermine), 1338 nucleotides long. RefSeq lists it as uncharacterized. The transcript has 3 exons. The record is from RefSeq and is a predicted model, not a curated record. Lineage: Eukaryota; Metazoa; Chordata; Mammalia; Carnivora; Mustelidae.
CUCCCCACUCAGCGUGAGCUCCAUCAGAGGCCAAAGCCACCCCGCCAGGCCCUCCCAUGUCCACACUCCGGGGUGCUCUCCACAGUGGUGACAGAGUGAACCCUUUCAAAUGAUGGACGACUGGCUGCUUUCUCAAAGGCCACCUUAGGGAAGAGUUUGGCAAAUGUAACUCAGGUCCUCCAUGAUCAUGGUUGCAAAUCAGGAUUGGAGCCCACUCACCAGUCGGCUCUGUUAGAAGGCGAGGCUGGGGAGUGACAAGCCUGGUUGUUUACAAGCACUCCCUGACGGUGGCCAGGGCCACCCGCUGUCCUCGCGCAUUCCCGGAUCCAGUGGAGGGAACAGAUGCCCGUGUGACCAACGAUAGGGAGAAGCAUGUCAGCUGGGAUAUGCAGAAGAGGAAGGAUCCAGAGGGAGGAAGGAACCUUAGUUUUGCUGGGACAUAGAGGGUUGGGGCCAGGAAUCCGAGAGGGCUUCAAGUUCCUGGGACGUGACAGCUGGACUUGGUUUGGGACUCAAGGAAGACUUGACAUUCAUUCAUACCUAUGCAAUGAGACUAUUUGUUUUUCUAAUUAAUAGUUAUUGAGCACUAGCUGUAUACCAGAUCCAGUAUACAAGGGCACUGUAAGGACGGAGGCUCACCGAUCUCCUGACCGCCCAGAGCUUACAGUUUAGUAUUGGGGGGUGGGUGAGGGGUGGGUGAAGCAAACGGUCACACCUCGGAAGGUCGUAAGGAGGGCUCCGCGUGAAAGCCUUCAGCACGCUGUGUGGUCACUGCUGCCUGGCUGUUCCAGGGCCCCUGCUGCCGUUACUGGAGAAGCCCCCUCUCUCUCGCCUACCCCCCGGCGGCACCCAGAGGACCCACAGACAGCAGCCAGCCCACCAUGCUGUUGAGGACAGAGGAUCGUGAGGAGCAGAGGAAGGCUGGGACCUCAGAGGGGCCAAAUGCUUCCGCACACCAAGCUGAAAAUGCCUUGGAGGUCCCUAUAGGUCCUGAAGCCCUGUAGGUCCCUGGGCCCUGGGCCCUAGAUUUAGAAGCAACACUGGGGUUGAAGGGCCAUUGUACCUGGACUUUUGCCUGAGUACCUGUUUUGAAGCAUGAGCUUCUUUAGCGGAAGGUGCUGCUGAAAUGGGCUCGGGAACUCAGGGAGCACACAAAUGGCCGGUAAAGCUCGGGGUCAAGUUUCUGCUGCCGCGCUGUAGACCCUGGUAUCAAUUUUCGUUGAAAAUGCUGCAGAAACAAAAAGGUCUCUGAUUCCUGGGAAAUUGGGUUAUCCCGAUGGCCUAGAAUCUGAAAGUGGGGAUCACGGCCACAACUGUCCUCCCUGGGUACCCCCAAAU